Molecule: ribosomal RNA, 493 nt
Filed under: uncultured bacterium
Lineage: Bacteria
Description: partial 16S ribosomal RNA
Rfam family: Bacterial small subunit ribosomal RNA
Source: RNAcentral
GACGAACGCUGGCGGCGUGCUUAACACAUGCAAGUCGAACGGUGAAGCGCCUUCCUUUUUGGUGGGUGUGGAUGAGUGGCGAACGGGUGAGUACACGUGAGUAACCUGCCCCCUUCUUCUGGAUAACCGCAUGAAAGUGUGGCUAAUACGGGAUAUUCUGGGUCUGUCGCAUGAUGGGUCUGGGAAAGAUAUUGUUUCGGUGGGGGAUGGGCUCGCGGCCUAUCAGCUUGUUGGUGGGGUGAUGGCCUACCAAGGCGGUGACGGGUAGCCGGCCUGAGAGGGUGGACGGUCACACUGGGACUGAGACACGGCCCAGACUCCUACGGGAGGCAGCAGUGGGGAAUAUUGCACAAUGGGCGCAAGCCUGAUGCAGCGACGCCGCGUGAGGGAUGGAGGCCUUCGGGUUGUGAACCUCUUUCGCCAGUGAAGCAGGCCUGCCUCGUUUGUGGGUGGGUUGACGGUAGCUGGAGAAGAAGCGCCGGCUAACUACGUG